GAAGAGGAAGUAAACACACAACCAGAGAGCCAUGGUCUAGUGCUCCCUAGCUUGUAGCCUGAGCCACUGCAGACAUGUGGCUGCGUUUCCUGAAUCAAAGCCUGAAAGGUUUAUCUGGUCAAAUGGAAUGGAGAGUUGUAUGGUGGCUGAGACUGACAACAAGGUUAUCAAGUGUACCCAUGAAGUGGUCUUCAACCAUCCAAAGAACACAAAGGUCAUUGAUAAAAUUGUCAUGAAGAAGAUUUGCAGAUGACACCACAUGCACAGUAGUAGUAAAUAAUAAAGAGAACAUACAAAGUAAUUUACUUGACCAUGUGGAUGUAAUUAUGCAAUAUGUGUUUCAGUGUGGCCAAAUGUAGCAUUAUACAUGUAGGAAAAAGAAUGCAGGACUUGUGUUCAAAUGAUUCCAAUAACUCAUUUUCAGACAAGAUUUCAAUGAGAUACUUUCACACAAGGGCUAAUGUAAGCUUUGGAUGUAAAACAGCUGAAUGUUAAGGACAAGUAGAGAAGUUAUACUAACUCUGUAUUUGGAACUGCUGUAUUUGCUACUAGAAUAUGUGUGGCCAGUUCAAAGUAAAAAAAAACAAACUGAAAAACUGAAGGACUACAAAAAUUAAUAAAGAAUUGGAAACCUUGUCUCUUAAUGUGUGGCUCAAGGAGUUCAAUCUGUUAUUAAACAUUAAAUUUGACUACUAGACUGAAUGAUCUUAUAAAAAAAAAAAAGAUUCAACAGCUGAAAAGUUGAAGGUGGACAAAUAUUUAUCCAUUGGAACAAUCUACCAAGGUUUAGGAGGAAUCCUCUAUCACUAGAAACAUUAGUUAUGCUUUUCUAAAACAUAUCUCUGGUUCCAUCAUAGCUAUUGGAUAUAGCAAAAGGCAUUUAUUCUGGAAAGCUGAACAGUCUGUGUUACACAAAGAGGAUCAUAAUAGUCCUUCUGCCUUUACCUAGGCAUCUAUGAAACUGUCUAAUCUAGCCAAGGAGAAGAAAGCCAGCCAAGUCCAGUAAAGCACAGCUGCUAAAGAAUUUGUAUAAGCAUGUGAGCAGCAACUCAGCCUACAAACUAGCUUGGACAAAUCAUUUUUUUCCUGAAAAAAGACCGGGAAUGAAGAAUUGAGGAACAGAGAAGGGAAUAAGAAAAGGUUCCAGAGUGGUGAGAACAGCCACCCAGAGCCCUAAAAUAGUAAUUAGGAGAAAUAGGUAAAA
This is a long non-coding RNA of Alligator mississippiensis (American alligator), 1204 nucleotides long. RefSeq lists it as uncharacterized. The record is from RefSeq and is a predicted model, not a curated record. The transcript has 3 exons. Lineage: Eukaryota; Metazoa; Chordata; Crocodylia; Alligatoridae.